RNAcentral lists this transfer RNA (83 nucleotides) under Felis catus (domestic cat). It matches the Rfam family "tRNA". From Rfam's summary of the family: Transfer RNA (tRNA) molecules are approximately 80 nucleotides in length. The record is from Rfam by way of RNAcentral. Lineage: Eukaryota; Metazoa; Chordata; Mammalia; Carnivora; Felidae.
GCCUGUGUGGCUCAGUUGGUUGAGCAUCUGACUUCAGCUCAGGUCAUGAUCUCAGUUUGUGGGUUUGAGCCCCACAUCGGGCU